UACGAAGGGGGCUAGCGUUGCUCGGAUUGACUGGGCGUAAAGGGCGCGUAGGCGGUUCGUACAGUCAGACGUGAAAUCCCUCGGCUUAACCGGGGAACUGCAUCUGAUACUGGAUGGCUUGAGUUCGGGAGAGGGAUGCGGAAUUCCAGGUGUAGCGGUGAAAUGCGUAGAUAUCUGGAGGAACACCGGUGGCGAAGGCGGCAUCCUGGACCGACACUGACGCUGAGGAGCGAAAGCCAGGGGAGCAAACGGG
This 253-nucleotide ribosomal RNA is filed under the name uncultured bacterium. RNAcentral describes it as "partial 16S ribosomal RNA". It matches the Rfam family "Bacterial small subunit ribosomal RNA", at positions 524 to 776 of the family's 1533-position model. The record is from RNAcentral.